UUGUAGUCAGAUUUGGUCAAAUUCAAAUUUACCUUUCUCACUUCCUUCUUGUGUAAUAACAGGAGUAGGAUUCCAUUCCUGUAUCUCUAAGAUGGGGGACAAAGAUGCCUGCCUCUAGAAUUGUCAUGCAGAUGAAGGAUAAUGAUGGAUGCACAUGAAGCACAACCCAGUGCCUGGCAUUUGAAAGACAGUUAAUUGUUUUACUUUGAUUCUUCUCUGAAAGUGUUUGUAAUCAGCUACAGUUCAAAAUUGCCUUGUCUUCAAGGAUAUUCAUGAAAAAGACUCUGACACGUACUCUGAAAUACAGAUUUCUGCUGAUAACUUUGUGAUCUUAUCAUUGGAUUGGCACAUUGGUAACAUACAGCUGUAUCCCUUCCUUAAACCAUAUACAAAAUCAAAUCAAGAUGGAUUAAAGACUUAAAUGUAAAACCCAAAAUUGUAAAAAUCUUGGAAGACAACCAAGGCAAUACCAUCCUGGACAUAGGAAUGGGCAAAGAUUUUAUGACAAAGGCACUGAAAACAGUCUUAACAAAACCAAAAAUUGACAAAUGGGAUCUAAUUAAACUUAAGAGCUUCUACACAACAAAAGAAAUGAUUAAGAGAGUAAACAGCUAAUCUACAAAAUGGGAUAAAAUAUUUGCAAACUAUGCAUCUGACAAAGGUUUAAUAUCCAGCAUUUAUAAGAAACGUAAUUGAAUUUACAAGAAAAGCAACCCUAUUAAAAAGUGAGCAAAGGACAUGAACAGACACUUCUCAAAAUAAGAGAUACACGUGGCUGACAAGCUUAUGAAAAACAGCUCAAUAUCACUGAGAAUUAGAGAAAUGCAAAUCAAAGCCACAGUGAGAUACCAUCUCACACCAGUCAGAAUGGCUAUUAUUAGAAAGUCAUAAAAUAACAGAUGCUGGUGAGAUUGUGGAGAAAACGAAACACUU
Long non-coding RNA from Piliocolobus tephrosceles (Ugandan red Colobus), 933 nucleotides. RefSeq lists it as uncharacterized. Lineage: Eukaryota; Metazoa; Chordata; Mammalia; Primates; Cercopithecidae. The transcript is spliced from 3 exons. The record is from RefSeq and is a predicted model, not a curated record.